AGCGGCGACCAUACCAUAUUGGAAACAACGGUUCUCGUCUGAUCACCAAAGUUAAGCAACGUUGAGCCCAGUUGGUUCGUGCAUGGGUGACCGGCUGGGAAUACCGGGUGUUGCGGCCC
RNAcentral lists this ribosomal RNA (119 nucleotides) under Opisthorchis viverrini. The record is from RNAcentral. Lineage: Eukaryota; Metazoa; Platyhelminthes; Trematoda; Opisthorchiida; Opisthorchiidae.